RNAcentral lists this long non-coding RNA (376 nucleotides) under Marmota monax (woodchuck). The record is from RNAcentral. Lineage: Eukaryota; Metazoa; Chordata; Mammalia; Rodentia; Sciuridae.
CGAAAUCACUUUUCCUAUAAAUACAGGAAAACAUGAGCCACGUGACAGUGCUGUGCCAUGCAUCAGCCUCAAGUUUACUGUGGCUGCUUAAAUUCAGUUUAAUGACCAAUGCUUCAUUUGAACUGGCCACACUUCCAGGUAACAUUAAAAUUAUAAAUAAUGUAUGUAGAUUAAUAGUAAAAUAAAACUAAUUUAUUUACCAGCUCCUGCCCAAAGAAGGACGUGUUUUAUGAUUUUGUGUGAUCCCCAUCUACCCAUUUCUGUUCCCCAGAUAUACUGCUCUUCUUAUUUUUUAUGAUCAAUUUCUUGCCCUUCUUUUUUUUCCCCCAAUACUGAUGACUGAACCCAGGGGCACUCUACACUGAGCCAAAUCCCC